Molecule: ribosomal RNA, 372 nt
Filed under: uncultured organism
Description: partial 16S ribosomal RNA
Rfam family: Bacterial small subunit ribosomal RNA
Source: RNAcentral
GUAGGUGGCAAGCGUUGUCCGGAAUUAUUGGGCGUAAAGCGCGCGCAGGCGGUUCUUUAAGUCUGAUGUGAAAGCCCACGGCUCAACCGUGGAGGGUCAUUGGAAACUGGAGAACUUGAGUACAGAAGAGGAAAGCGGCAUUCCACGUGUAGCGGUGAAAUGCGUAGAGAUGUGGAGGAACACCAGUGGCGAAGGCGGCUUUCUGGUCUGUAACUGACGCUGAGGCGCGAAAGCGUGGGGGAGCAAACAGGAUUAGAUACCCUGGUAGUCCACGCCGUAAACGAUGAGUGCUAAGUGUUAGGGGGUUUCCGCCCCUUAGUGCUGCAGCUAACGCAUUAAGCACUCCGCCUGGGGAGUACGGCCGCAAGGCUG